This 3815-nucleotide long non-coding RNA is filed under the name Homo sapiens (human). RNAcentral's name for it is "non-protein coding LINC02520:24". Lineage: Eukaryota; Metazoa; Chordata; Mammalia; Primates; Hominidae. The record is from RNAcentral.
AGUUAGCCCAGGGAGGAAGGGGACAGAAUGACAGCAUGGUUAUAUCAAUGGUCCAAUUCUUGGUUCCAACCCUUGAUUGUCCUUCGAGAGCACCACCCAUUCCUUACAACACAUCUCUCCGCUUCAUUUUGGGAGUUUUGAAGUUAUUAAAGUUAUUGAUUUCUUUUCCUUACAACCAAAAUAAUCUAAAUUAAGAUUGUGGCCAAGUUUGGAUUAAAACCUGCCUCCCGGCUCCAAGACCCAUGUUUUUCUAUCAUGCUGACUGGCAGCAAAGACGUCUUCCCAUGGAUUUUUCAGAACUCUGUUCUUUAAAUGUGACCUUAGAUGCACCAGACUCAUGCCAUCCAAAGGUUGGAGGUACUGCCCAGUUUUAGCAAUGAAAGUCCCACGUCACGGGAAACCUCUGAGUCCUGGACAAAUCAAGAUGACAUUUUCUAUGCAUAUGCAAGCAUGUCACCAGGAGCAGAGCACAGAGGGACAACACAGCUUUUGCGCUUCCAGCUGGCUCCCAUCAAGAAGUUAGAAGGGAGCCUGCAAACACAUUUCCUGCUAUCAUCUCUCCACCCCAGAAUGACUUUCCCUGGUAGAGCUGGGGGAGGGGAGGCGGGCAGCAGGCCCCCCAGGAGGCCCUGGGCAGGAAUAUUAAUACUCCAACUUCCCAGCACAAGAGGAGGGAGGAGGAGCGGCCACGGCGCAGUCCGGUCCUGGGGGCCCUGGAAGGUGGUUGCUGAGCAGCCCGUGGGAGGCACGGAUCCGCCAGCUCACGGCGGCAGGGGCCGCCCAAGUCCUAAUGAAAACACCUAGCUCCUGGCAGGGCGCAGCCGACACAUCGCCCUGCCUUCUCGGCCACCUGGGAGAGGAUGGGCGCCGCACGCGGAUACCCAACCUGCCGGGUUGUGCUCGCAGUGACAUCGCUUUUCUCCCGGCAAGUGCAUCCAUCUCGCUGGGUCUGGAUAGAUAACACAAUCUCUCUGCCCACACCCCAUUUGCUGGGAGACAGCCUGGGCUUCUCCAUUUUUUAUGGGCUCACUUAGCUUGGAGGAAAUCCAGAGGUCAAAGCCGGCGCAGACGCUCCAGUCACCUUGCCCGUCCGGGCGCGCAGCCAUUCCGAAACGGGCUCACCCACGGGGCCCUAAAUUACGGCGAUUACACUGCAAUUCGCAGCGCGAUAUUACUUUGAUACACUACCUGCUGCAGCUUGGCCCGGGAGGCGUGCAUUAUUUACCAGGGAGGCUGUCCGUACUGCGCACCAGAGCUGACAGCGCUCCGCGGGGUCCCUCCUGUCCCUACAGCCCCGCCUUCGCCCGCGGUGCGGGGUCUGGAGGCAGUGGGGCGGGGGCAGGGGGUCACUGGAGCAGCCCCGCUCUCUCGGAGUGACCGUUUCCUGAACGCAAUAUAGCCCGGAGAGGACCCAGUGGCGGAAGCGGCAGCUGGCGAUGAGGUUGGGGGUUAGUAGGUGGGAACAAGUGCUGAGCCCGCAGCUCCUCCUGGCUCUUAAGGACACCCAGACCCUCCUUAGCCGGCCUAUAAGGGCCCUUGUUGCGCGCGCGCAGGGACCCACACAGGGCCUGCCCAGGGGUGCAAGGCUGGUCCCUGGCCCCUGGCCAACUGUUAAAACGGCUAGCAGCCGGCUAACCCCACCGGCAGGCUCCAGGAUUUAGCCUGUGGCGGCUGGUGGCGGAGAUGGAGGGAACUCAGGCUACCCUCUUCCUCGGGCCCUGGAAGCUGCGUGCGCCUCAGCUGAGGCCUGAUUUCGCCGUGGCUGGGGGCUGGGGCCGGAGUUGGGCCCGGCUUCUCUCCGGCUCCCCCAUUACGGUUUGGCAUCAGCAUCUAGAUUGCAGGUUACUUCUGCUUUUAUCCAAAGCGGUCCUUAAGGGAGAUGGAGUUCUGAUUGAAAUCCAGUCAAUUGGCGCCGUGGCUCAGAGGGCCCAGCGUGAGCACACUUGUAGGGAAAUUGCCCUGGGUCUGAGAGGAGGGGCAGGGGUGGGGGAGGGAACAGGACCCGCAGGCCUGCUCUGGAGCCUGUGAACGCGCUGCUGCGAGGACUUUAGCGGAUGCGCUCAGGUCGGUAUCCGCGGGAGUCCUGGAGGGAAAUCCGCUCUCCUUCUCCAGCUCCCUGGGAUUGAUGGAACCAGAAACCUCAAGCAAGGGAUCCCCAGAGGUCACUGCGUCCAGUCUCCAGCCUCAGACAGUGUCUGGGUAGUGGAGGAGGGGCCGAGUCUGUGGGACCGAGCUGUCUGCUUUGGUGGGUGAAGGAGGGUGGACUUCUGGGGUCUGGGUUGAGAUGUGGAUUAGUUCCAGGACUAGUUCCUGUUACUCGUAGGCGGGGAGAGGUCAUGGUCCCUGCUGAACACAUCUGGCUGUGUUCAGUCCUGAACUGCCCUGGGCUCCUCAGCAGUGUGCACAGGGGUCUGGCCUCCAAAUUUCUUGUUAACAGCCCAUCAGGAGCUGGAGGAGCUGGCCUGGCCUUCAAGGUGUGGAGGGGUUCCUGGAAGGAAGCAGAUGGGCACACGGAGGAGAAGAAUGACAAAUCCAUGCUUCCCCAAUGCUGGGGAGAGAAUAUGGUGGUGGGGAGGAAGCAUGGAGACCAGAAGCAUUCCCGGGAAUGCUUCUGGAAGUAUCCCAGAAAUGUCAAGAGCUCAUUCUGCCAGCUCUUCCGGGGCCAGCAAAGAACAUACAUAUCAUUUCUCCAUCCACUUUGGGACCUGCCUGAGAUGAACAUAUGUUUUAAAAGGAAUCCCAAUUGCUGCAGGAGCAGAUGGUGCUACAGGGGCAGGCAAGGGCAGGAGAAAGGAUACUGGCUGGCAGUAGGGUAGGAGUCCUGGGCUCUGCCUCGCCCCUUCCUCUUACCAGCCGUGUGAGCUGUGUGGCUGCGGGCAAGUCACUCCCCGGCUCUGUGCUGCCCCAUUUUCCUUGUGAAGAAUGAGUGGGUCCCCUGUAGCAUGCAGGAUGAGCUGAGGCCUCACUCCCCUGCGGUGGAGAGGACAGAACACUCUCUCCAUCAGCAGGGAAGACAGAUUUUCCUAUUUAUUAGCCUGUUCAGCUGGCAGACACAGGGACUGUCCUCUAGGCCAUGGGGUGGGGAAGAGGGGGACAGAGCCCCACACCAGCCCCCGCUGUGUCCAUCCUCUGCCUGUGGCUGUUUGCCUGAUUGAUUUGUUUGGUGGCCUCCCUGGCUGGGAUUGGGUCCCUGUGUCCUCCUGCACAUUUGCCUCUGGUCCCUCUCUGUGUGGUCAGGAGGGGGAGCUCUAGGUGUAGGGGCGGAAGAGACUGGAACAUCUAUCCAUCACGGACUGACUCUUGGGCUUGGUAAGGAUCCUAACAACCACCGGGUCCACCUGCCACCUUGUGCUCCGGGCCCCUCCCCAGAAGCUCCCCCUGCAGUGGGAGGCUCACUGCCUCUCGCUGAGCCACUCCCAGAAAGUUCACCCUUUUCUGGAUCCCAAGUCGAGAGGCUGAGACGGGUGGAUCACCUGAAGUCAGUUCGAGACCAGCUUGGCCAACAUAGUGAAACCCCGUCUCUCCUAAAAAUACUGUAGUCCCAGCUACGGGAAGCUGAGGCAGGAGAAUUGCUUAAGCCCAGGAGGUGGAGGUUGCAAGGAGCCGAGAUUGCGCCACUGCACACCAGCCUGGCUGACAGAGAUUCCAUCUCAACAACAACAACGACAACAAAAAGCAGCGGGGAAAAUAAUACAACACAAAGCUGCUGUGGUCUGAAGGGCUUAAAACAGUACCUGGUGCAUAGUUAGUGCAAGCUUACUGAGUGUUGAGUGUUAUUACUGUCAAUGAUAAUAAUAGAAUGCCUUUGAACCCUU